Molecule: long non-coding RNA, 790 nt
Filed under: Sorghum bicolor (sorghum)
Lineage: Eukaryota; Viridiplantae; Streptophyta; Magnoliopsida; Poales; Poaceae
Description: long non-coding RNA (SBIC_LNC012301)
Source: RNAcentral
GUGGGAAGAAAACUUGAUCUAAAGUCUAAGUUGUUAACGGAUAUGAUAUGGGAAGGUUGAGCUGCUGUUUAUCUAUUUCUAGAGAUGCUAGAAUUCUAGAGAAUUUUAUCUUUGAAAAUCUUUAAAAUAUUACAUGAUGAGUUCCUGUAUGAUGAGAGUUUAAAUUCCUACCACAGCCAUAUAUACAUGCUUGCUAGACUUUGAGCCACACAUUUACUUUUUACUACUUAUGAUCAUUGAGUGUGGUCAAGCUGUGUAGACCCUUAGGAGCUUGUCAUGUGGUUAAAAUCAAGAUUCACUUGCACGUUCAUUCACACAUGCUGCUUCUACCCCGGAAGUACGCAUCCACAUACAUCCACUCAAUUCCAUCUCCAGAACUACCCAAAAAUAUUCUACUCCUAAUCCGGUAGAGAAUAGCCAAAAACAUUUCUGUUUUCCCCUGUGAAAUAAAUGCUCAAGUUAUCUUGGUUACUACCACUUGCUAUAUUAUUUCAAGAGAUGAGUGACUUAAAAAAAGAUACGAGGAAAUAAAAAGGGGCAAGUGCCCGGAACCUCGAAAGAAGAGAAAAAGUAAGACGAGAGGUAAAAAUGGACAAGUGUCCGACAGUAGAAUUAGGGGUACAAAAUACCCACCUGAGAGGAAAAAAAAGUAAAAGUAGAGCAUCUCAUCUUCCUCAAAAGUUUCAAAAAAAAGCAAGGAAGGUAUGUAUCCCCUCAAAAGAGCAAAAGUAGAAUUAGACUUUCACCAUUGUUAUCACAAUCAUCAUCAUACACCAUUCAUUCGCCACAC